Molecule: ribosomal RNA, 497 nt
Filed under: uncultured bacterium
Lineage: Bacteria
Description: partial 16S ribosomal RNA
Rfam family: Bacterial small subunit ribosomal RNA
Source: RNAcentral
GAUGAACGCUGGCGGCGUGCCUAAUACAUGCAAGUCGAGCGAACAGACGAGGAGCUUGCUCCUCGGACGUUAGCGGCGGACGGGUGAGUAACACGUGGAUAACCUACCUAUAAGACUGGGAUAACUUCGGGAAACCGGAUCUAAUACCGGAUAAUAUAUUGAACCGCAUGGUUCAAUAGUGAAAGACGGUUUUGCGGUCACUUAUACAUGGAUCCGCGCCGCAUUAGCUAGUUGGUAAGGUAACGGCUUACCAAGGCAACGAUGCGUAGCCGACCUGAGAGGGUGAUCGGCCACACUGGAACUGAGACACGGUCCAGACUCCUACGGGAGGCAGCAGUAGGGAAUCUUCCGCAAUGGGCGAAAGCUUGACGGAGCAACGCCGCGUGAGUGAUGAAGGUCUUCGGAUCGUAAAACUCUGUUAUUAGGGAAGAACAAAUGUGUAAGUAACUAUGCACGUCUUGACGGUACCUAAUCAGAAAGCCACGGCUAACUACGUG